Molecule: ribosomal RNA, 917 nt
Filed under: Vibrionales bacterium SWAT-3
Lineage: Bacteria; Pseudomonadati; Pseudomonadota; Gammaproteobacteria; Vibrionales
Description: bacterial LSU rRNA
Rfam family: Bacterial large subunit ribosomal RNA
Source: RNAcentral
CACCCGAGACUCAGUGAAAUUGAAAUCGCUGUGAAGAUGCAGUGUACCCGCGGCUAGACGGAAAGACCCCGUGAACCUUUACUACAGCUUGGCACUGAACAUUGAACCUACAUGUGUAGGAUAGGUGGGAGACUUUGAAACCGCGUCGCUAGAUGUGGUGGAGUCGUCCUUGAAAUACCACCCUUGUAGUUUUGAUGUUCUAACGUUGGUCCCUGAAUCGGGAUUACGGACAGUGCCUGGUGGGUAGUUUGACUGGGGCGGUCUCCUCCCAAAGAGUAACGGAGGAGCACGAAGGUGGGCUAAACACGGUUGGACAUCGUGUGGUUAGUGCAAUGGCAUAAGCCCGCUUGACUGCGAGAAUGACAAUUCGAGCAGGUGCGAAAGCAGGUCAUAGUGAUCCGGUGGUUCUGAAUGGAAGGGCCAUCGCUCAACGGAUAAAAGGUACUCCGGGGAUAACAGGCUGAUACCGCCCAAGAGUUCAUAUCGACGGCGGUGUUUGGCACCUCGAUGUCGGCUCAUCACAUCCUGGGGCUGAAGUCGGUCCCAAGGGUAUGGCUGUUCGCCAUUUAAAGUGGUACGCGAGCUGGGUUUAGAACGUCGUGAGACAGUUCGGUCCCUAUCUGCCGUGGGCGUUGGAAAAUUGAAGGGGGCUGCUCCUAGUACGAGAGGACCGGAGUGGACGAACCUCUGGUGUUCGGGUUGUCAUGCCAAUGGCAUUGCCCGGUAGCUAAGUUCGGAAUCGAUAACCGCUGAAAGCAUCUAAGCGGGAAGCGAGCCCUGAGAUGAGUUUUCCCUGACACUUUAAGUGUCCUAAAGGGUUGUUCAAGACUAGAACGUUGAUAGGCAGGGUGUGUAAGCGCUGUGAGGCGUUGAGCUAACCUGUACUAAUUGCCCGUGAGGCUUAACCAUACAACACC